UACGGAGGAUGCGAGCGUUAUCCGGAUUUAUUGGGUUUAAAGGGUGCGUAGGCGGACGCUUAAGUCAGCGGUAAAAUUGCGGGGCUCAACCUCGUCGAGCCGUUGAAACUGGGUGCCUUGAGUGGGCGAGAAGUACGCGGAAUGUGUGGUGUAGCGGUGAAAUGCAUAGAUAUCACGCAGAACUCCGAUUGCGAAGGCAGCGUACCGGCGCCCUACUGACGCUGAAGCACGAAGGCGUGGGUAUCGAACAGG
Molecule: ribosomal RNA, 252 nt
Filed under: uncultured bacterium
Lineage: Bacteria
Description: partial 16S ribosomal RNA
Rfam family: Bacterial small subunit ribosomal RNA
Source: RNAcentral